AGCGGGAAGAGCUCAAAUUUAUAAUCUGGCACCUUCGGUGUCCGAGUUGUAAUCUCUAGAAGUGUUUUCCGCGUUGGACCGCACACAAGUCUGUUGGAAUACAGCGGCAUAGUGGUGAAACCCCCGUAUAUGGUGCGGACGCCCAGCGCUUUGUGAUACACUUUCAAUGAGUCGAGUUGUUUGGGAAUGCAGCUCAAAUUGGGUGGUAAAUUCCAUCUAAAGCUAAAUAUUGGCGAGAGACCGAUAGCGAACAAGUACCGUGAGGGAAAGAUGAAAAGCACUUUGGAAAGAGAGUUAACAGUACGUGAAAUUGUUGGAAGGGAAACGCUUGAAGUCAGACUUGCUUGCCGGAGCUUGCUUCGGUUUGCAGGCCAGCAUCAGUUUUCCGGGGUGGAUAAUGACGGUUUGAAGGUAGCAGUCUCGGCUGUGUUAUAGCUUUCCGUUGGAUACAUCCUGGGGGACUGAGGAACGCAGCGUGCUUUUUGCGAAAGACUCGUCU
This 499-nucleotide ribosomal RNA is filed under the name Rhodotorula babjevae. RNAcentral's name for it is "partial large subunit ribosomal RNA". It matches the Rfam family "Eukaryotic large subunit ribosomal RNA", at positions 97 to 601 of the family's 3401-position model. Lineage: Eukaryota; Fungi; Basidiomycota; Microbotryomycetes; Sporidiobolales; Sporidiobolaceae. The record is from RNAcentral.